RNAcentral lists this ribosomal RNA (440 nucleotides) under uncultured bacterium. Its description in RNAcentral is "partial 16S ribosomal RNA". It matches the Rfam family "Bacterial small subunit ribosomal RNA", at positions 338 to 795 of the family's 1533-position model. The record is from RNAcentral.
CCUACGGGAGGCAGCAGUGGGGGAUAUUGCACAAUGGGGGAAACCCUGAUGCAGCGACGCCGCGUGUGGGAAGACGGUCCUCUGGAUUGUAAACCACUGUCCCCAGGGCCGAAGAUGACGGUACCUGGGGAGGAAGCUCCGGCUAACUACGUGCCAGCAGCAGCGGUAAUACGUAGGGUGCGAGCGUUGUCCGGAUUUACUGGGUGUAAAGGGAGCGUAGGCGUGGAUGCAAGUGGGGUGUCAAAACUACCGGCUCAACUGGUAGUAGCACACAAAACUGCAGCUCUUGAGUGAAGUAGAGGCAGGCGGAAUUCCUAGUGUAGCGGUGAAAUGCGUAGAUAUUAGGAGGAACACCAGUGGCGAAGGCGGCCUGCUGGGCUUUUACUGACGCUGAGGCUCGAAAGUGUGGGGAGCAAACAGGAUUAGAUACCCGGGUAGUC